This 687-nucleotide ribosomal RNA is filed under the name uncultured bacterium. RNAcentral's name for it is "bacterial SSU rRNA". It matches the Rfam family "Bacterial small subunit ribosomal RNA", at positions 143 to 848 of the family's 1533-position model. The record is from RNAcentral.
AUAACAGUUAGAAAUGACUGCUAAUACCGCAUAAGACCACAGCACCGCAUGGUGCGGGGGUAAAAACUCCGGUGGUAUGAGAUGGACCCGCGUCUGAUUAGCUAGUUGGUAAGGUAACGGCUUACCAAGGCGACGAUCAGUAGCCGACCUGAGAGGGUGACCGGCCACAUUGGGACUGAGACACGGCCCAAACUCCUACGGGAGGCAGCAGUGGGGAACAUUGCACAAUGGGGGAAACCCUGAUGCAGCGACGCCGCGUGAGCGAAGAAGUAUUUCGGUAUGUAAAGCUCUAUCAGCAGGGAAGAAAAUGACGGUACCUGACUAAGAAGCACCGGCUAAAUACGUGCCAGCAGCCGCGGUAAUACGUAUGGUGCAAGCGUUAUCCGGAUUUACUGGGUGUAAAGGGAGCGUAGACGGAUGGGCAAGUCUGAUGUGAAAACCCGGGGCUCAACCCCGGGACUGCAUUGGAAACUGUUCAUCUAGAGUGCUGGAGAGGUAAGUGGAAUUCCUAGUGUAGCGGUGAAAUGCGUAGAUAUUAGGAGGAACACCAGUGGCGAAGGCGGCUUACUGGACAGUAACUGACGUUGAGGCUCGAAAGCGUGGGGAGCAAACAGGAUUAGAUACCCUGGUAGUCCACGCCGUAAACGAUGACUACUAGGUGUCGGGUGGCAAAGCCAUUCGGUGCCG